UCAAGAAACUUCCACAAUGGGCGAAAGCCUGAUGGAGCGACGUCGCGUGAUGGACGAAGUGCUUCGGCACGUAAACAUCUUUUAUGUGGGAUGAAAUUAUUGACAGUACCACAUGAAUAGGGGGCUCCUAACUCUGUGCCAGCAGGAGCGGUAAUACAGAGGCCCCAAGCGUUAUCCGGAAUCACUGGGCGUAAAGGGUGUCGAGGCGGUUGUAUUAGUCGUUCGUAAAAUCUACGAGCUUAACUUGUAGGCGGCGAACGAAACGGUACGACUUGAGGUUUGGAGAGGUGCGUGGAACUCACGGUGUAGGGGUGAAAUCCGUUGAUAUCGUGGGGAACACCAAAGGCGAAGGCAGCGCACUGGCCAAAAUCUGACGCUCACACACGAAAGCUAGGGUAGCGAAGAGGAUUAGAUACCCCAGUAGUCCCUGAGCGGGCUGGCAAGGCGCAU
RNAcentral lists this ribosomal RNA (450 nucleotides) under uncultured bacterium. Its description in RNAcentral is "bacterial SSU rRNA". It matches the Rfam family "Bacterial small subunit ribosomal RNA", at positions 355 to 825 of the family's 1533-position model. The record is from RNAcentral.